This 296-nucleotide long non-coding RNA is filed under the name Carica papaya (papaya). Its description in RNAcentral is "long non-coding RNA (CPAP_LNC004281)". Lineage: Eukaryota; Viridiplantae; Streptophyta; Magnoliopsida; Brassicales; Caricaceae. The record is from RNAcentral.
GUAUGAGGGUGAAACGGGCCGUCCCCAUACCCCGUCCGGUAUGGGCGCCAAAACACAUAAGAUCUCCAUACCCCGUCCGGUAUGGGAGACCACAAUCCCGGUAGGGUUCCCUACAGACCCGGUCCGUCCACCAUCUCCCAAGAUAUCUAGUCAGGCUGACCACAUUAUACAAUUUCUAUUUUCAUAAUCUUUCAUUCUCCUUUUCCCCCAGUCAGUAUUAUCAAUCACAUACAAACAAGCAAAACGAUAAUUUAUGCCAAACAGACAACAUACAGCAUUAAUAUUCCGAUCAUUCA